This 305-nucleotide unclassified non-coding RNA is filed under the name plant metagenome. RNAcentral describes it as "partial contains 5.8S ribosomal RNA, internal transcribed spacer 2, and large subunit ribosomal RNA". The stretch from base 1 to 105 matches the Rfam family "5.8S ribosomal RNA", at positions 50 to 154 of the family's 154-position model. The record is from RNAcentral.
GAAACGCGAUAGCUAGUGUGAAUUGCAGAUUUUCGUGAAUCAUCGAGUCUUUGAACGCACAUUGCGCCCCCUGGUAUUCCGGGGGGCAUGCCUAUUCGAGCGUCGUAGUCACGCUUCAAGCCCGGCUUGAUGAUGGGGAACGCCCUCUUUGGAGAGGGGGGCCUCCCUUAAACGCAACCCCGGACCGCCUCGCUGGCGGGGAGCGCAGCAGCAGUGCGCUUCCCAGAGGCGGCCGGGUGCCCCCCCCCCGUGGGCUCGAGAAUGCUAGACCUCGAAUUAGGCAGGGAUACCCGCUGAACUUAAGC